This 497-nucleotide ribosomal RNA is filed under the name uncultured bacterium. RNAcentral describes it as "partial 16S ribosomal RNA". It matches the Rfam family "Bacterial small subunit ribosomal RNA", at positions 28 to 507 of the family's 1533-position model. The record is from RNAcentral.
GAUGAACGCUGGCGGCGUGCCUAAUACAUGCAAGUCGAGCGAACAGACGAGGAGCUUGCUCCUCUGACGUUAGCGGCGGACGGGUGAGUAACACGUGGAUAACCUACCUAUAAGACUGGGAUAACUUCGGGAAACCGGAGCUAAUACCGGAUAAUAUAUUGAACCGCAUGGUUCAAUAGUGAAAGACGGUUUUGCUGUCACUUAUAGAUGGAUCCGCGCCGCAUUAGCUAGUUGGUAAGGUAACGGCUUACCAAGGCAACGAUGCGUAGCCGACCUGAGAGGUUGAUCGGCCACACUGGAACUGAGACACGGUCCAGACUCCUACGGGAGGCAGCAGUAGGGAAUCUUCCGCAAUGGGCGAAAGCCUGACGGAGCAACGCCGCGUGAGUGAUGAAGGUCUUCGAAUCGUAAAACUCUGUUAUUAGGGAAGAACAAAUGUGUAAGUAACUAUGCACGUCUUGACGGUACCUAAUCAGAAAGCCACGGCUAACUACGUG